RNAcentral lists this microRNA precursor (58 nucleotides) under Pundamilia nyererei. Its description in RNAcentral is "microRNA pny-mir-122 precursor". Its record names the gene pny-mir-122. Lineage: Eukaryota; Metazoa; Chordata; Actinopteri; Cichliformes; Cichlidae. The record is from miRBase by way of RNAcentral.
UGGAGUGUGACAAUGGUGUUUGUUUCCUUUUCGUCAAACGCCAUUAUCACACUAAAUA